Molecule: long non-coding RNA, 268 nt
Filed under: Elaeis guineensis (African oil palm)
Lineage: Eukaryota; Viridiplantae; Streptophyta; Magnoliopsida; Arecales; Arecaceae
Description: long non-coding RNA (EGUI_LNC029661)
Source: RNAcentral
AAUAAUACAAGCCCCAUAAAGGAUUCAAGUAGUUUAGGCCCUCAAAAUUAAUUUGAGCCCAUAAGCCUCCUAUAAGGUUUGGAAGGUAACACUAGAAAGGGUAUUCUAAGGUUUAUAAGUUUUAGGGAGUUUCGUGGUGACCAAAUGUUAAAAUUUUGGAGUUUUGUUUCUUGGAAAAAAAAUCAACCAAAAACCAUCAAAAUCUAAAGCAUCUCAAAAUAAUUAACAUCUAUAAUCUCCUUUGAAAAUGGAGAUUAAAGAGAGUGGG